AACGAACGCUGGCGGCAGGCCUAACACAUGCAAGUCGAGCGAGGACUGCGGUCUUAGCGGCGGACGGGUGAGUAACGCGUGGGAACGUGCCCUUUGCUCCGGAAGAGCGCUGGGAAACUGGGAGUAAUACCGGAUGAGCCCUUUGGGGGAAAGGUUGUUCGGCGAAGGAUCGGCCCGCGUUGGAUUAGGUUGUUGGUGGGGUAAUGGCCUACCAAGCCGACGAUCCAUAGCUGGUUUGAGAGGAUGAUCAGCCACACUGGGACUGAGCCACGGCCCAGACUCCUACGGGAGGCAGCAGUGGGGGAUCUUAGACAAUGGGGGAAACCCUGAUCUAGCCAUGCCGCGUGAGCGAUGAAGGCCUUAGGGUUGUAAAGCUCUUUCAGCUGGGAAGAUAAUGACGGUACCAGCAGAAGAAGCCCCGGCUAACUCCGUG
This 433-nucleotide ribosomal RNA is filed under the name uncultured bacterium. RNAcentral's name for it is "partial 16S ribosomal RNA". It matches the Rfam family "Bacterial small subunit ribosomal RNA", at positions 29 to 507 of the family's 1533-position model. The record is from RNAcentral.